This 487-nucleotide ribosomal RNA is filed under the name uncultured Acidobacteriota bacterium. RNAcentral's name for it is "bacterial SSU rRNA". It matches the Rfam family "Bacterial small subunit ribosomal RNA", at positions 355 to 860 of the family's 1533-position model. Lineage: Bacteria; Pseudomonadati; Acidobacteriota. The record is from RNAcentral.
UGGGGAAUCUUGCACAAUGGGGGAAACCCUGAUGCAGCGACGCCGCGUGAGCGAUGAAGCCCUUCGGGGCGUAAAGCUCUUUCGGCAGGGAAGACUUUGACGGUACCUGCAGAAGCAGCUGCGGCUAACUACGUGCCAGCAGCCGCGGUAAUACGUAGGCAGCAAGCGUUGUUCGGAGUUACUGGGCGUAAAGGGUGCGUAGGCGGUUUUCUAAGUCUGGUGUGAAAUCUCCCGGCUCAACUGGGAGGGUGCGCUAGAAACUGGGAGGCUAGAGUGUGGGAGAGGAGAGUGGAAUUCCUGGUGUAGCGGUGAAAUGCGUAGAUAUCAGGAGGAACACCGGUGGUGUAGACGGCUCUCUGGACCAUUACUGACGCUGAGGCACGAAAGCGUGGGUAGCAAACAGGAUUAGAUACCCUGGUAGUCCACGCCCUAAACGAUGCACACUUGGUGUGGGCCAUUCAUUUGGUCUGUGCCGGAGCUAACGUCG